GAUGAACGCUGGCGGCGUGCCUAAUACAUGCGAGUCGAGCGAACGGACGAGAAGCUUGCUUCUCUGAUGUUAGCGGCGGACGGGUGAGUAACACGUGGAUAACCUACCUAUAAGACUGGGAUAACUUCGGGAAACCGGAGCUAAUACCGGAUAAUAUUUUGAACCGCAUGGUUCAAAAGUGAAAGACGGUCUUGCUGUCACUUAUAGGUGGAUCCGCGCUGCAUUAGCUAGUUGGUAAGGUAACGGCUUACCAAGGCAACGAUGCAUAGCCGACCUGAGAGGGUGAUCGGCCACACUGGAACUGAGACACGGUCCAGACUCCUACGGGAGGCAGCAGUAGGGAAUCUUCCGCAAUGGGCGAAAGCCUGACGGAGCAACGCCGAGUGAGUGAUGAAGGUCUUCGGAUCGUAAAACUCUGUUAUUAGGGAAGAACAUAUGUGUAAGUAACUGUGCACAUCUUGACGGUACCUAAUCAGAAAGCCACGGCUAACUACGUG
RNAcentral lists this ribosomal RNA (497 nucleotides) under uncultured bacterium. RNAcentral describes it as "partial 16S ribosomal RNA". It matches the Rfam family "Bacterial small subunit ribosomal RNA", at positions 28 to 507 of the family's 1533-position model. The record is from RNAcentral.